AUUGAACGCUGGCGGCAGGCCUAACACAUGCAAGUCGAACGGUAACAGGAAGAAGCUUGCUUCUUUGCUGACGAGUGGCGGACGGGUGAGUAAUGUCUGGGAAACUGCCUGAUGGAGGGGGAUAACUACUGGAAACGGUAGCUAAUACCGCAUAACGUCGCAAGACCAAAAAGGGGGACCUUCGGGCCUCUUGCCAUCGGAUGUGCCCAGAUGGGAUUAGCUAGUAGGUGGAGUAACGGCUCACCUAGGCGACGAUCCCUAGCUGGUCUGAGAGGAUGACCAGCCACACUGGAACUGAGACACGGUCCAGACUCCUACGGGAGGCAGCAGUGGGGAAUAUUGCACAAUGGGCGCAAGCCUGAUGCAGCCAUGCCGCGUGUAUGAAGAAGGCCUUCGGGUUGUAAAGUACUUUCAGCGGGGAGGAAGGGAGUAAAGUUAAUACCUUUGCUCAUUGACGUUACCCGCAGAAGAAGCACCGGCUAACUCCGUG
RNAcentral lists this ribosomal RNA (490 nucleotides) under uncultured bacterium. RNAcentral describes it as "partial 16S ribosomal RNA". It matches the Rfam family "Bacterial small subunit ribosomal RNA", at positions 30 to 507 of the family's 1533-position model. The record is from RNAcentral.